GUGUCAGCCGCCGCGGUAAUACCAGCUCUCCGAGUUGUGGGGACGUUUAUUGAGCCUGAAGCAUCCGUAGCCGGCUGUGCAAGUCCCCUGUUAAAUCCAGCGACUAAUCGUUGGCCUGCGGGGGAUACUGCUCGGCUAGGGGGCGGGAGAGGCCGUCGGUAUUCUUGGGGUAGGGGUGAAAUCCUAUAAUCCCAGGAGGACCACCAGUGGCGAAGGCUGUCGGCUAGAACGCGCCCGACGGUGAGGGAUGAAAGCUGGGGGAGCGAACCGGAUUAGAUACCCGGGUAGUCCCAGCUGUAAACGAUGCAGGCUAGGUGUUAGGGCGGCUACGUGCCGCUCUAGUGCCGCAGGGAAGCUGUUAAGCCUGCCGCCUGGGGAGUACGGUCGCAAGGCUGAAACUCAAAUGAAUUGACGGGG
RNAcentral lists this ribosomal RNA (417 nucleotides) under uncultured prokaryote. RNAcentral describes it as "bacterial SSU rRNA". It matches the Rfam family "Archaeal small subunit ribosomal RNA", at positions 455 to 873 of the family's 1478-position model. The record is from RNAcentral.